GAUGCUAUUUCUAGAGAUAGAAAGUUACUUCGGUACAUCGGUGACAGGUGGUGCAUGGUUGUCGUCAGCUCGUGUCGUGAGAUGUUGGGUUAAGUCCCGCAACGAGCGCAACCCCUAUUGUUAGUUGCCAUCAUUCAGUUGGGCACUCUAGCGAGACUGCCGGUAAUAAACCGGAGGAAGGUGGGGAUGACGUCAAAUCAUCAUGCCCCUUAUGACCUGGGCUACACACGUGCUACAAUGGUUGGUACAACGAGUUGCGAGUCGGUGACGGCGAGCUAAUCUCUUAAAGCCAAUCUCAGUUCGGAUUGUAGGCUGCAACUCGCCUACAUGAAGUCGGAAUCGCUAGUAAUCGCGGAUCAGCACGCCGCGGUGAAUACGUUCCCGGGCCUU
Molecule: ribosomal RNA, 390 nt
Filed under: uncultured Streptococcus sp.
Lineage: Bacteria; Bacillati; Bacillota; Bacilli; Lactobacillales; Streptococcaceae
Description: bacterial SSU rRNA
Rfam family: Bacterial small subunit ribosomal RNA
Source: RNAcentral